Molecule: ribosomal RNA, 506 nt
Filed under: uncultured bacterium
Lineage: Bacteria
Description: partial 16S ribosomal RNA
Rfam family: Bacterial small subunit ribosomal RNA
Source: RNAcentral
AGUGAACGCUGGCGGUAGGCCUAACACAUGCAAGUCGAACGGCAGCACAGAGGAGCUUGCUCCUUGGGUGGCGAGUGGCGGACGGGUGAGGAAUACAUCGGAAUCUACUCUGUCGUGGGGGAUAACGUAGGGAAACUUACGCUAAUACCGCAUACGACCUACGGGUGAAAGCAGGGGACCUUCGGGCCUUGCGCGAUUGAAUGAGCCGAUGUCGGAUUAGUUAGUUGGCGGGGUAAAGGCCCACCAAGGCGACGAUCCGUAGCUGGUCUGAGAGGAUGAUCAGCCACACUGGAACUGAGACACGGUCCAGACUCCUACGGGAGGCAGCAGUGGGGAAUAUUGGACAAUGGGCGCAAGCCUGAUCCAGCCAUACCGCGUGGGUGAAGAAGGCCUUCGGGUUGUAAAGCCCUUCUGUUGGGAAAGAAAUCCAGCUGGCUAAUACCCGGUUGGGAUGACGGUACCCAAAGAAUAAGCACCGGCUAACUUCGUGCCAGCCGCCGCGGUAA